GAUGAACGCUGACAGAAUGCUUAACACAUGCAAGUCAACUUGAACUUCGGUUUGGGUGGCGGACGGGUGAGUAACGCGUAAAGAACUUGCCUCACAGAUAGGGACAACAUUUGGAAACGAAUGCUAAUACCUGAUAUUAUGAUUUUAGGGCAUCCUAGAAUUAUGAAAGCUAUAUGCGCUGUGAGAGAGCUUUGCGUCCCAUUAGCUAGUUGGAGAGGUAACGGCUCACCAAGGCGAUGAUGGGUAGCCGGCCUGAGAGGGUGAUCGGCCACAAGGGGACUGAGACACGGCCCUUACUCCUACGGGAGGCAGCAGUGGGGAAUAUUGGACAAUGGACCAAGAGUCUGAUCCAGCAAUUCUGUGUGCACGAUGAAGUUUUUCGGAAUGUAAAGUGCUUUCAGUUGGGAAGAAAGAAAUGACGGUACCAACAGAAGAAGUGACGGCUAAAUACGUGCCAGCAGCCGCGGUAAUACGUAUGUCACAAGCGUUAUCCGGAUUUAUUGGGCGUAAAGCGCGUCUAGGUGGUUAUGUAAGUCUGAUGUGAAAAUGCAGGGCUCAACUCUGUAUUGCGUUGGAAACUGUGUAACUAGAGUACUGGAGAGGUAAGCGGAACUACAAGUGUAGAGGUGAAAUUCGUAGAUAUUUGUAGGAAUGCCGAUGGGGAAGCCAGCUUACUGGACAGAUACUGACGCUGAAGCGCGAAAGCGUGGGUAGCAAACAGG
Molecule: ribosomal RNA, 722 nt
Filed under: uncultured Fusobacterium sp.
Lineage: Bacteria; Fusobacteriati; Fusobacteriota; Fusobacteriia; Fusobacteriales; Fusobacteriaceae
Description: bacterial SSU rRNA
Rfam family: Bacterial small subunit ribosomal RNA
Source: RNAcentral